AUAUAUCAAAACUUUCCCAAUUAUCUUUGUGUCACAACCGUGCCUCUCUCUCUCUGAAAAAACCUAGGGUCUCACUGCGUUGUCAAUUUCACCCGAUUGAAGUACUUCUUCGGUGUAGCUCCGGCCUCAUCUCCCUUAGACGGCCAUCCCGUCUUUGAGAUCUGUACGCAGACGUUUUUAUAGCCGAUUGAAGCUAAAGCAGAGUGAAAGGGAACCAAAUCAGCUAUGUCUACAGAUAUGGAUGAAAUUAAGUCAAUGUUCGAGAGGAUAACGUUGGAGAUUGCCAACUUUAAUGUUAGACAGAAUCAGCUAGAGGCUCAACAUGAGAAGGCUUUGGCUGAGUUGAAGAAAUCUAUAGAGGAAACUAGAAGGUUCGAUAGGGGUAAGAGUUUUGAAGGGCAAGAUAAAGGUAACGAGGUUGAUACCCCUUCAGGGAAUCCCAUGGCUUAGUUACCUCCUUCUACUAGAAGGCCUCCAAUACCCUCUUGUUCUCCAGCUAGAGUUCACAUGGGGUUGGGAUCUAUGCCUCAAUAUGCUGCGACCAUGGGACCAGUUCCACAACCUGCCCAAGUUGGGCAAACAUCAGGAGAAACAUCUGGAGUUGAGAGAAAUACCGGUCCACCAAUUCAAGGUCAGCAUCAUGCAGGAGGUCCAACAAUGUCAAGAAUGACCAAGCUGAAGUUCCCUAGAUUCAAUGGUACUCGGUUGAGAACUUUGCUUUACAAGCUUUUAAGGGAUGGUCAUAGUGAGAUACAUGGGUCUGCUUCAGGGUUUACUGUGUUGCCUUGAAUUUUAGAAAGUAAUGUUGUAUUUAGCAGUCUAGCAGCUUGCAGAAUGCACCUUCAAGUUUUACGAACAAUUCAAGGUACUCUCCACUACCUAAUGAUUAUCUUUGUGAGACCAAUCUGGUUCUACAACCACUUCAUGUAUCCAUUUCUCUUAACUGUAAUGCAGAGCUUCUUGAAUAGCUUUAGCUUCAGCCUCUAUAUUAGUAUCCCAUCCUAUCCCCUUAGCUCUUUCAUAUACUAUGUCUCCAUAUUUAUUUUGUAUUCAAAUGCCUAUAAAGCUUAGUCCUGCAGUGUACAUUUGAGCUUAUUUGUCUCUGGGUACUUCUAAGUUGCACUAUGAUAAUGUUGCUUAGGAUUGUACCUUAUUAAGUUGUUUAUUACAUCUGGACACAUCCAUGAUUCCAAUGUAAUCUAUGGAUAGUGGGAUUUCACCAAUUUUUUCCCUAGAUCUUAUAUCUGCAAUACCAUUGGUGUUUUCUUCAUUUUUUUUGUCUUUCCUUAUUAAUAUCAACAAUCUGGUUAAUAUCAACAAUCUAAUCUAUGAGAGUUUGUUGAUAUUAACCAGUUUACUCCAUGAAGCUGUGUAUUGUAUGUGUAUUCAGUGAUAAUGAAUUGAAUCACUAUAGUAAAUGACUUUCUUUCAUUUGGAGGGUAAUGAAAAAAUACUGAUGCGAUCGCUACUGAGUGUUGUGUUUUCCUAAGCUAUGCUAGUGAAACUUUUCAAUGACAACAGUUAGUUCAUACUUGCAUUAUCUCUUUUAUUAAAAAAUUUCAGGAAUAUGAAAAUAGGGAAAAAAGCCUACUUUUCCUGAGGUCUACGAAGAGAUGCAUGGUAAGAAAAAGGACGGUACAAGAGGAGAUUGGUUAGAAAUACGUGCUAAGAAUGCGUACCUAAGAUAAUAACUUUUACAUACAUUAUUUUAUUAUUACUCAACUUCGCUUGUUUACAUACUGAUAAAUAAUUUUUCUUUCAGAAAAAAAUUCAAAAAAGCAUAGAAAAUUAGCGUCAAAUCCAACCUACUUCAGAGGAUGGUACCAUGGUCCAUCCAUCACCUGCAGAUAUGACUAAUAUGUGGACAGUUGUGUUAGGUGGUCCAAAGAAAGGUAGAACCUACGGGACAGGGGUUCUCCAAUCCUCGAGUAGUCCUUUGUUGUUUUUCAGUUUCUCUCCUACUUUGCAAACUAUGGAAGAAAUGAAAGCGAUGAAAAAGCAAAUUGUGGAACUGACGCAGCAAUGUGCAGCUAACGAUGUUAAAUUUGCUAAAUUUGAGGAGUUGGUUAAGCAACAUAUGUCUCAAGUAUUUCAUGAUGAGGAAGAGAGUGAAUCUGAUGAUAAUUAGAUUGUAAUUAUUGUUCUUGUUUUUUGUUGUGACAUUUAGAUGUUUAAACUAUUUGAUUUGAUGUUUGUUUUGGAUGUUUUAAAGUGGUUACAUUUAUAAAAUUUUUUCGUUGUCGUGUUUGA
Long non-coding RNA from Capsicum annuum, 2250 nucleotides. RefSeq lists it as uncharacterized. The record is from RefSeq and is a predicted model, not a curated record. Lineage: Eukaryota; Viridiplantae; Streptophyta; Magnoliopsida; Solanales; Solanaceae. The transcript has 3 exons.